GGGGGAUUAGCUCAGCUGGGAGAGCGCCUCGCUUGCACCGAGGAGGUCACCGGUUCGAGUCCGGUAUUCUCCA
Molecule: transfer RNA, 73 nt
Filed under: Nitrospirota bacterium
Lineage: Bacteria; Pseudomonadati; Nitrospirota
Description: Nitrospirae bacterium (hydrothermal vent metagenome) tRNA-Ala
Rfam family: tRNA
About the family: Transfer RNA (tRNA) molecules are approximately 80 nucleotides in length. Their secondary structure includes four short double-helical elements and three loops (D, anti-codon, and T loops).
Source: RNAcentral